CCCAGAUUGAUAGUAACUCAUAUCUCCAGAUAUCCGAAGAGUCCGAACACUUGGUAGUCUGCCCAAUAUAUCAGGAGUACAACUACUAGGGUUUAAAGCUGAUAUGAAAAUGAGAUUUUUCAGAGAGCUAGAAUAAUUUUUUGGAGGUGCGGGCAGAGUGAUAGAACCAAAGUUUAGAUGCAUGAGUUUUUGCAUCAUCCAAAUAUCAUCUGGUGACUGAUCUAUGUAGCUAGAUGGCAUUUCUAGUGUUUCAAGGUUUAAAAGGGUGCAUAGCAGUGAAGGAAGGCAUUUGAGCGAAGGGAUAUUCAAUUUCAAAUACUUCAAAAGAUAUAAAUUUUCUAAUCCGGGUGGAUAUUGGUCCAGGACUGCAGAACCCAUGUUCAAUACCCGAAGGUGUUUGAACUUUUUACAAAAAUUCUCGCAAUCUAUCAGAGCGAGACGAUCGCUUUCUGAACUGUUAUUCAGAAAAGAUUGGAGACGCGUGUCAGAAUAUUCUAAAGAUAAAAACUGAAUCAGAUCUUCCCAAAUGAAGCACCGUUUAACAUUUGCCAGUGGUUCCCUUUUCCUUUCACGCAUCCAGACAAAUCCCGUAAUCUCUGCCACCAAAGCCAAUGAAGUAUAUACAAUACUUGGAACAUAACACGCUUUGAUUAUGCCUCCGGCUCUUCUCUUACUCACUUGAAUGAUGCCGCGAUGGAUUAGUUCUUUCAAGUAAUGUUCGGCAGUUUCUUCACCGUGGUAUGGUAUGAAACCUUCAGCUACCCACAACUGAUAUAAUUGCCUCGUAGAUAUCUCAAUACUUGGACAGAAGACAUACAAAUAGAUGCAGCAGACUUUCAAGUGAAAAGGUAACUCCAUCACAGAAAAAAUUUGUCUCCAAAUUGUCGGAAUCGCUUCGCCUCGAAAAUAAUUUUCUAAUGGCAUACUUCCAUAGUGUAGGAUGAAAAAUUGCCAGGCUUCAUGCUUUAAUCUGAUCAAUGGUCCUCCAGUGAGCACCGAAUCAAGCCGAAUCUUCUCUCCGUUUUCCAUUUCCAACGACGCAAGGAGGUUUGGAUCAGUGACCAAUAUCAAGACUCUGCUUCCAUUCUGAUUAUCAGGAAGAACUUCUUCAAGAUCAUCCCAUAUCUCACUGUGAUCAAAGACAUCAUCAAGCACAAUAAAGUACUUCUUGUUUGUUAGGAAAUCUCGAAGAACAGAUUUCUUCAAUUGAUAAUGUUCACCGAUAAUUACACUAACCCGAGAUGGAGGCAUCACAGACUUGAUUAUGUCAUCCAAUAUCUUGCCAAAAUCGUAGAGUAUAGAAACCCUGACCCAAGCAAGACAGUCAAAAUAGAACUUGACAUGAUUAUUGUUGUAAGUAUCAGCAGCAAAAGCAGUCUUGUCGAAGCCACUGCUGUCGAGAAUUGCAACCACUGCCAGCCCAGAUGGUCCCUCAAUCAAUAGAUCAAACAACUCCUCUCUGCCCCGUUCAAAUUCACUGAUAUCAAGCCGACGAUGUCCCUCACUCAAUAGGCGAAUGAUUUCGUUACUUUUUUCACGGAUAUCAAAACCAUUGUCGCCGGGUGGAAGUUGUUGCGUCCGAUUUCUAAUAUCAAUGAUUUUAGUGUGGAGUCCAACAAGAAGAGCCAUAUCAGUACUGCUUUCACUUUCGUUUUCACUGUUUUGCUGCUGCAUGAUGUUGAUGAAGAAUGUGUCAAUUGCAUCCUCAGAUUCAUGGACAAAGACAUUGAUGUCCUCCAGAAUUUCCAAAAUAUCUGCUCUUUCAACAUCUUCUUCAUCGCUUUCUUCUAAGUCCAACAGUUGCAAAAAAGGCAAAGAUAUUUUGGAGUCAUCGAAUUUUUCUCUAAUGAGUUGAAACAAAUGCCGAGCCAUGUCAGCUUCAUAUUUUCCCAGCAGAGUAGUAGCAAUAAUUUCGGACUCCGUAAGAAGGUUUUUAAAAAGUGGAGUUAAUUUUGUUGAAUCUGGCAGCGGCAACGUGCCUUCUUCACCUGCUAACACCCUUUUCAACCUCUCACAAAACAGUCGGAGGUGGAAUUCCAGCAUUUCUCCUUCUCUCCGUAGCACUCAGAGGUAUAGCUGAAAGAUUAAACACCAUGGAAGAAUUUGAAAGGAAAAUGCCAAGAAAUUGUGUAAGUGGCUAAAUUCCACAAAUAUGACAUUAUUGCUCAUUUUUUAACUCAAAAAAAGGGUACGCGUUCAUUUAGAGAAAAGUCCAAGACGCGUGCCUUUUGAAAAGAACAGGUAUCCCAAUCGGUAUCCAACCUUUAUCUUAUUUAAUUACUACCAUAACAUAAUUGAUGGUGCUUAAAUCAAUUGUUUCUUUUUUAAUUUAAAGAAUUUUUCAUUAAAAAAAUAUUUUAAUAUCAAAUACCCUUCAAUGGCAUAACUGCCGCAAGCCCAAAAACAGGAUUAAAUAAUUUUUUUUUUUGAAUUUUUGGUCAUGGAAAGAGCAGUAUUAAACAUCAGAAAGCUAAGGUCGUUAUGUUAAAGAAUUGAUAUUGACAUAAUUUUUUUUGGUUUUCGGGGAAAAAAAAAUUGUUGACAAGCAAGAAAAUAUUUUUAUAUUUUACAAUUUAUUAUACAUAUUUUAUCUUAUUAAAGUAAUUUAAUAAUAAAUAGAAACAUAAUAUUACGAUAAAAAAAUUAAAGUUUAACUUAUUUUGAAUAUUAUAAAAAAUAAUUUUAAUAUUAUUAAUAUGGGGACAUUGUAUUAAUUUUAAAAUUUUUUAACCCAAAGGUUUAUUUAAAAUGUUUAUUAUAAAUACAAAUAUAAAAUUAAAUAUCAUAAUUUAAAAUUUUUAAUAUUAUUUUAAGUAUUAAAAAUAUUUUAAUGUUAUUAGUCUACUACAUAGAUCAUAUUACUUAUAUAAUAUUUGUAUUAUUAAAAAUUCUUAAAAUCAAAUUUUUAGUUAGUAUAUUCAUGAGGUAUUAUGGUUAAAAAAAAAAAGACCUUAUUGUUACUUUUUAAAAAAUUGAGGGCCUUCGUGAUAAUUUUUUCAAAAAGAAAAUACUUGGUAUCUGGGAGGGAUAGAGAAAUAGGACUCCCAAAAUCUCUCACCCUUUUUUAAUUAAAAAAAUUAAAAUAUCAAUAAAAAAUAAUAAAGAAAAUAGAAUUUUAUCUACUCCUUACUUCAUUUUUGCAACUCUCUCACCAUCUCUGUCGAGCAGCCCUCUCUCUCACUCUCUCACUCACACAGUCUUUUUCACGAUUUGAAAUUCUUUGGCCCUUUGCAUUACAAGAAAUUAACGCUUUGGUUCUCCCAAGGGUAGAUUGGUUUUAUUGGGAAGCUAUUAAUUAGAAGGAGGAAAAAGGACUAUAUUUAGAAUAUGAUUUGUUGGAGAAUCUCAGAGUUAGUCAAUUUUCAAGCCACACUUUCAAUAGCCAACUGAUUUAGAAACCAUUAAUUACUUUAAUUUCCAUAAAUUGUAAUGACAGUGCAAAUGCAUCUGGUUGUGAUAGCUAAGGGUUAGCUUGAAGAAUUAAAUUUCAUAAGAUAUUACUGGAAAACGCUUUGCAGAUAACGUGUUGCUUCCUUUGCUAGGCUACAAUUUCAAAAUUCUCACGAGUUUUCCAUUGUUGUCACAAACCGAGAAAUUAUAAAAUACAUGGCCUGGUUCUUUGGCAAUGACCAUCUCAUCGUCGGCGGUCGCGUCGUCAUUGUCACUGGUCUUGCUGGACCGAGACAGUGAGAGAGAGGUUUGUUAGAUGGAGUUAGUGAGAGAGAGUUGUAAAGAUGGAAUGAUGAUAAAGGAUUUUAUUUUUUUUUAAUUGUUUUUAUUAAUAUUUUAAUUUUUAAAAUUAAAAUUUGCUGCCGUUUCUCUCGACUCUCAUAAUUUAUUUCAUUUUUAGGGAAUCCAAUGAGAAAUAUGAUAAAAGAACGUCAAUUACUUGUCAUUUUCAAUUUUUUUCUAUAAGCUAUUUAUUUCGAGCAUUAGUGAUCUUGUCUGGCUACUCCAAUUAUUGACGUAACUCCAGUGGCUGCAUCCACUGGAAAAAGUGGAUGAGAACCAUUUUUUUUUCAUAAAGGUAACUGCUCCAAUUAUUGACAUAAUUGAUGGUGCUUAAAUCAAUUUUUUUUUUUAAUUUAAAGAAUUUUGCUUUAAAAAAUAAUUAAUAUCAAAAUGCCUUCAAUGUUGUUACCGCCACAAGCCCAGUUAGAGGACUCAUUAAAAAUUUUAGAAUUUUUAGGCCUGGAAAGCGUAGUAUUAAACAUCAGAAAGCAAAGGUUGUUAUGUCGAAGAAUUGAUGUCGACAAAAUUUUAUUUUAGUUUUCGGAAAAAAAAAUAUUUUGUUGACAAGCAAGAAAAUAUUUUUUAUACUUUACAAUCUGCUAUACAUAUUUUAUCAUAUUAAAGUAAUUUUAAUAAUAUAUGGAAACAUAAUAUUAUAAUAAAUAAAUUAAAAUUAAAAUUACUUUGAAUUAUUGAAUAUUACAAAAAGAUAAUUUUAAUAUUAUUAAUAGGAAAACAUUUUUUAAUUGUAAAAUCUUUUUAAUACAAAAAAUCAUUUAAAAUCUUUAUAAUAAAUACAAAUAUAAAAUUAAAAAAUAUCAUAAUUUAAAUUUUUUAAUAUUAUUUAAAUAUUAAAAAUACUUUAAUAUUAUUAGUCUACUACAUAAAAUAUAUUAUUUAUAUUAUAUUCGUAUUGAUUAAAACGUUUUAAAGUCAAAUUUUUAAUUAGUGUAUUCAAAGGUAUAAAAGAUUUUAGUAUUAUUUUUUAAAAAAUUUCAGGAUAUGAAUGAUAAUUUUUUUCAAAUUUUAAAGAUGUAAGAAUCUUUUUUUCUGAUAACUUAUUUCACUUUUGAGAGAAUCCGAAAACGUUAAUUUAACAUUCUUUACCUUUAUCUUUUCAAAAAAAAAAAAAACAUUCUUUUUUUGAUAAGAAUGUUUUUUUUUUCUUUAAAAAAUAAUUAAUAUCAAAAUGCCUUCAAUGUUGUUACCGCCACAAGCCCAGUUAGAGGACUCAUUAAAAAUUUUAGAAUUUUUAGGCCUGGAAAGCGUAGUAUUAAACAUCAGAAAGCAAAGGUUGUUAUGUCGAAGAAUUGAUGUCGACAAAAUUUUAUUUUAGUUUUCGGAAAAAAAAAUAUUUUUUUACCUUUGUGAAAAAAGUGAAAAUCAAGAACUAUUCAAUUUUGUUUUUAUUUGUAAUUCAAAAACUUUAUUCAUUUUUGGAUGCUUUUCAAAAGAGAUUCCUUUAAAUCCUUUUGGUGUCUGCAGCUCCUGCCAUUCUCAUAAAUCUCCAUCCCACAUCUACACUAUCAAACAAGUUGAUGGAAAGUCUUAUAAAAAAAAAAAAGUUGAUGGAAAUUGAUCAAUUGCUUUUUGAAGUGGACCCAUUGAGUCAUGUUCAUUUCUGAUCAUUGUCUACUCUUUCUAUCAGCCAUUUAUUUUGACCAUUUGCGAUCUUAUCUGGACCUACUCCAAUUAUUGUUGGAACUCCAAUGGUUGUAUCUACAGUCGAAUGUAAUAUAGUGACAGCUCUUUCUUUGAGAAACUAGAGGGACCUUACAGUUCAUAUAAAUUUCGCUACCUUACAGUUCAUACGGUCUUGCUGUUAAUGAAUUUGCUGAGGCAUUAUUGAUCCAAUCUGAGUGAAGUAAUUGUGGCUGAAAAAUAAAUAAAGGAUAAGAGAACGUAGCUGAAGUGCUGAAGGGGCUAUUAAAGAAGAGUGUCACUUGAUCACAAUCACAUUGAUGCACAAUUCACUUGGCAAAUUUCGACUAUGCGUACUGCAAAUUCAGCCAAACCAUACAUGCAUGAACAAAACUAAAAUGUAGUUCUAAUCACAACUGCAGUUAUGAUGUUUACCCCUCUGAUUUUUCUCCAAAACAAAUUCAGUUCAAAACAAUAAUCAAAAUAGCCACAUUUUGUUCGUCAAAAUAAAUGCCCAAAUUUUCAAUUAACAAAUCAUCUUCUCUAAACUAAAAAGCCCACAUCUCUAAAAUCAAUCUACAUAAUGUUGGACAUGAGGGGUGAAUUGUUAACUCAGUAAAAAAACUCAUGCAUAAUAUUACUAAUAAUAAAAAAUAUAUAUUAAUCAUUAUAAAGAAUCAUAAAUUAGAAAAAUUAAUCAUUUUAUAAUUUAUUACACAAGUAAGAUAAAUCUCAUAAUAAGUUAUAACAUAAAAAAAACGUUAUCAAUAUAUAAUCAUUUAAGAAGUCAUUUAACAAUAAAAUCGUUCUUUGAUCAGUUGGUCAUGUCACAUAAUAUCAUCUAUAUUUAUGGUGAUAAUAUUAUUACUCAGUAUUCUCAAAAAACAUGAUUUAACAUUUAGAGGAAAUUCUUGCCUUUUAAAAAAAACAUGUAUGCAACAGCUACCCAUGCUUUAUCUUGCCAUGACAAAUAUUUUCUCAAUGAAAGAAAUUUUUUUAAAAAUUGAUUUAAUGCACAAAUAUGAUGAUUUUUCCAAAAAUUAAUUUUGGAAAAUAUAGUGAGAGAAAAUAGUGACGAUUAUUGUUUAGAUGUAUAAAUAGCCUAAACAUAAUCCUUAAUACCAAUAUCCAUAUGCAUCUUAUCAUCUUUCAUGAUGUUCUUUCAUUUAUGUCCAUUGGUUCAAGAUUUGAAUUUGAUCAUUAAAUCAUGUUCAAUAAUAUUAGAGAUUCCAACAAUUGAGUACCAACUUAAAUCCCAAUGUUAUGUGUCAUUGACCAAUUAUGUGUCAGUGACCAAUUUUGUGUCAUUUUGUUAUUAACUAGGUGAUGAAUUUCUAGUUGAUAAAAUCACUUAAAAAUAUCUUAAAAAUUAGACAAUAGUUUGCUUAAUUUUUCCAAGUUAACUGCUCAAGAUGCUCUAUUAUAAAUGAUAACCUAAUUAUAUUCAUAAAAAAUGAUAUAUUUUUUUGUGGUGUUGAUAAUGAGAUUAUCAUUCAACGUUUUAAAAUGUGAAAACAUAUGGAAGACGGUUGUAAAUUGAUUGAAUGAAAAUAUUUCAGUGAAGUCUCAAAAAUUUGGUACUUGUUGUCUUAUCGAAAGUUUUCUAAAUUAUAUUCGUGGCACAGCCACUAUCCAAACCAUACAAGUCCAAAGCUAUCCAAACCAUACCUGCAAGUCCGGGGCUUAAAUGGAGUACUUCUAAGCAAAAAAACAUUGAUUAAAAUAGAAUAUAUACAUACAGACACACAUACAUACCAGCAUAUUCAAAAUAGCAAAAGGAGUGCAAAAGUUCAAGUUUGUAGACAACAUUGCAACCAUAGCAUGUUUAUAGCAAAUCCUCAAAAUCUGCUAAAUAAAACAAUGCCCUGUCUCAUGAAUCAAUGCUGAAUUAAAAUUGAAACUGAAAGUCUGGAUGGUGUUGUUUGUUGAGAAUGUCAAAUAAAACGGCAUUGAAGGAAGUUUUCAAAGGCAGAAUCCGCACUUGUCAAAGACACGAUCCGCACCGAACGGAUCGACACAUUUCCUUCCGUAUUCACAUAUGUAAUCUUUGAAAAAAUGUAGCUUCUGCAUCUAUAAAUAACGCUCAGUGUAUAAUGUUUUAUUCAAGAAAUAAAAACAAGUUUCUACAUGGUAUCAGAGUCAUGAAUGCGCUCAAGUUUCUUCAAGUUUCGCUGCUCUGUUUGUCACAAAAACAGAGGAAACCAAAUUCGUCCCACAACCAUUUUUUCCACCAUUUUCUUCCUUAAAAUCAUUCCUAACAUUACAGAAAUCCAUGCCGAUCAAAAAACAUGAAAGACAAAUUACACAUGUGCAGUAACCAAUGAUCAUAUUUCGUUACUGUCAAACACAAUGCAUCUGAGCAAAACAUUGGAAGCCAACACCAGAAUACAUAUGAAUAAACAAUUAAAGAUAGAGAAAAAAGGCUUAAACCUUGGGGGAAAAAAGUGAAAAAACAUGAAAGACAAAUUACACAUGUGCAGUAACCAUCGAACUUAUCAGUGACAGCUGCAUCCAUUACAUUGCUCCAACAACACAAUGGCAAACCACCAGUUUCAAAUUGAGGAUAGCUAUCGAGAAUGAGAAAGUGUCCAAAACAUCAUAAAUAGACAUGUUCCUAUUGUGCAUAAUUUACAUUAUAGGCAAAUAUUCUUAUACCAUCAAAGGCAAAACAUGACACUAACAAUUGAUCCCCCCCCCCCCCCCCCCCCCCAACAACCAAAAAAAAAGGAAAAACAAUACAGAAAAGAUUGAAACAGAUAAGGCUACACUGAGCACAGGAUGCCAUGAAACAUAAUCCAGGAACCAAAUUAAUAAAAAAGGAAGCCAAACCAUUAUUUAACAAUCUGUUUUGUAUUUGGGAAAGUCUGAUAAAAUCUACUUAGGGAUAAUUAGAGAACUUCAACUAUUAAUCACACCUCAUAAAUGAACUAACAUUAACCAUCUACCAUCCCCACGUCACACAAACAUUCUCUAUACUUCUGAACCUAAUACUUCCAUCUUCAAUUGGGGGUUUUUUUUCUUUUUUUUUUUGGGUGGGGGGGGGGGGGGGGGGGGGGAAGCUAUCAAUUUUCUAAGCUUGCUUAGCUUCUGUGUGGGAUUGAAAUGCUGAUUUCGAAUCACUAACAGUAAAAUUGGAAGCUCAUGAAAAAACAGUUUUAUCUCAAAAUUACAUCUCGAUAUAAAUUCUCUUUUCAUUUCCUUCAACUUUCUAAUUAAGCUUAAAAAAUGUACCUUCAACCACAAAGGGGUUUAAAAUUUAAAAUAUAAAAAAUAAAUUCAGAUAACAAUAAUUAAUUUAAUUAAAAAUAUAAAUAGAGUUACAGAGAAAGAGAAAAUAGAGAAAGACCUAAUGUUGAGUCCUUUGGCGCAUGUCUCUUCAUAGGUCCGAACCAUUUCUUCGGGCGUGGGUUACGGCCGAGAUUGGAUAAUGAUGGAGUAGGAUAAGAUUAGCGAUAACGACGCCGAUGAAAUGGAAGGGUUUACCAGAGGAGUGGAUGCGAAGAGUGCAGGGACCGCCGCAGAGAGAGAGCGGCGGAGAGCGGCGACGGACGGUAGUGACCAGCGGAGGCGGAAGAUGGCGGUAUGGGCCAUUGCUUGCGCGUCGGUGAGUGUCUCGAGUGAGAGAGUGAAGGGUUUUGGGAAAUGAAAAAUGCAAAUGUUUGAUUUUGUUGCUAGAAACUUCUUCUGCCGCUGCCUUUUAUUUUCGCUAUAAUAAUAAUAAUAAUUUGUUAAUCAAAUAUUUUCUUAAAAAAGAUAAAUUUCUACAAGAAAAUUUAUAUUAAAUCAAAUUGUAAAAAUGUCUAUUAGGGUUAAUUUCUCCUUAAUAUUAUUAUUAGUUGAAGUAGAUUUUCGAAUUAGUCUUGAUAUAUUUCAGAGUUGUAUUAUAAAUGUAUAAGUAUCUGGAUUGCAAUUAUAUUUUUAAAAAAUAUAAUUUUUUUAAUUAUUGCACAAUAAAUGUAGAUAGUAUCUAUAAAAUAAUAUUAUUAGGACUAUGAAAAAAAUAUUAUUUUAGAGAAGUUAUUUAUUUAUUAUUGAAUGAAUAAUUUAUUAACUUAUUGGUAAAUGAAUAUUUACUAAUUUAAAGAGAGAUUUUUUUUUUGAUUUUAAGAAGAGUUUUGUUGGUACAUAUUCAUACUUAUAAAGAAACACAAAAAGUAGUUCCUCAAGUCAAUUGUAUUUGCUUUAAUUCGUAAUAAUAUAUCUUAAUCAAGAAACUUGUAAUUAUACUAUAUCUUUCUUUCUUUGUUCAGUUUGGUGGUACAUUGUGAUAAAUCAUUGGAUUAAAAUGCAUUUCUAAAUGAAAACUUGUUAAAACCUAAUUUAUUUGGGAACCAUAUUUUAUUUGUCAGUCGUAUUUCUCAACUUAGCAAGUUAUUUCUAACUUAUCGGUCUCUAUUGGUUUUCUUAAGUGCCUGUUUGAUAUGACUUAUUUAAUGGCAAUAAGUGCUUAUUUAAUCUCAUAAGCUCUUAUCAUAAUUUUUGUUAUUGUUUGGUUGUUUUUCUAAUAAAGUUUUUGAAGCUUAAAUAAGUAAUUUUACCUCUCUUAACAAAAGCUCAAAUUUUGAGUUUUUUGGGAGUAGAGAUUGAAAAACUUUUUCAAAUGUCAAAAUAUCUAUAAUAUCCUCUACUUAUUUAACAAUCUUAUUUAUUAUUUUCAUAAUAUAACUUUAAAAGACUUGUCUAUUAAAGUAAUUUCAUAAAUUUUUAAUAAAAACUCUUAUUGACAACCAAACAACUAAUUUUUUUUAGCAAAACCUCUACUUAAAUAAGUUCUACUUGAAAAACUGUAUCAAACGGAGCUUAAAGUUAAUAGUCUCUUAUCUCCCACAUUUGAUAUCUUAAUGGUAUCAGCGUGUUACCUAAGAUUGGGAUUCAUUAAAAUCCUCAAUGUAAUCGGUGGAAUGAAAUGGAUUUUUAUAACCUCCUUGAAGGUUUUACGAUAAACAUAAAUCUAUUGACAAAGUGGGCAAAAAGAAAAUGCAUAUAAAAAUAUGAGUUAUCAGAUAAGAUUAAAACUCACCCAAUUCAAUCCAUCAGAUUCCGUAAGGAUAUAACUGGAUGUCAUACCGCCACUCCAUAUCCUCGAAAGUCCGUAGUCCUUGUCUCAACUGUGUCUGGGGCCAGUGUAAGUCCAAUUUGCGCAAGCUCUUUAUGCACCACAGCUCUUCUGGAAGCUUUCUCAAGUAAGCACAUGGGUUGACAAUUAAGCUUUCAAGUUUCGGCAUUGCUCCAGCCCCCAUCGUCCACUCAUCUAGCCAAUACAUUGAUUUCAAGUGCAAAACCUUAAGUUCGGAAAAGCUACUCAAGCCAACACAAGCAAGCUUUCUUCCUAAAUACGAGUUCUGCUUCAGUUUCAGCACUCGAAGGCAUGGAAGAUUUUCCAGAAUUGGCAUGGGAUCCUCCAUUAGCUCAGUAUUUGAUAAGCUCAGUUGGAUCAGACUUGGGGGAAAUUGGUAUUCAGACAGGACAAUCCGUGAGGGCUUGCUCUCAUUCACCAGCUUCAAGCAUUCAAGUUUGUGGAGUUCGCAAAGGCUUUUGGAAACCCCAGAUUGAUAGCAACUCAAAUCUCCAGAUAUCCGAAGAGUCUGAACACUAGGUAGUCUGCCCAAUAUAUCAGGAGUACAACUACUAGGGUUUAAAGCUGAUAUGAAAAUGAGAUUUUUCAGAGAGCUAGAAUAAUUUUUUGGAGGUGCGGGCAGAGUGAUAGAACCAAAGUUUAGAUGCAUGAGUUUUUGCAUCAUCCAAAUAUCCUCUGGUGACUGAUCUAUGUAGCUAGAUGGCAUUUCUAGUGUUUCAAGGUUUAAAAGGGUGCAUAGCAGUGAAGGAAGGCAUUUGAGCGAAGGGAUAUUCAAUUUCAAAUACUUCAAAAGGAAUGAAUUUUCUAAUCCGGGUGGAUAUUGGUCCAGGACUGCAGAACCCAUGCUCAAUACCCGAAG
RNAcentral lists this long non-coding RNA (11309 nucleotides) under Citrus x clementina. RNAcentral's name for it is "Citrus clementina (C. clementina) long non-coding RNA (CCLE_LNC002393)". Lineage: Eukaryota; Viridiplantae; Streptophyta; Magnoliopsida; Sapindales; Rutaceae. The record is from RNAcentral.